Leguminivora glycinivorella is the source of this 651-nucleotide long non-coding RNA. RefSeq lists it as uncharacterized. The record is from RefSeq and is a predicted model, not a curated record. NCBI's taxonomy places the organism in Eukaryota, Metazoa, Arthropoda, Insecta, Lepidoptera, Tortricidae. The transcript is spliced from 2 exons.
ACACCAUUUGUGGGCCACGGACGCAAACGUGCAACACGGCCUUAAUAUAACUUGAACGCGCCCAUUUGUCAUUCUUGGGUCGACGCCAUCUUGUUGCGCCUGCGCGCUGCACGAUGGGUUAGGUGUCAUGAUGACAUUCAUAUGACAUUUGAGAACUGAGAAAACGAAAACCAUGUUGCACGUUUCACGAUUGAUAUAAAAUUACAAUUCUACAUUUCAAACAGUUCAAUCUGCUAAAAAAGUAAUAACUACAUGGAACAAGCAUAACGUUAACUCGUAAUCGUUACACGGAAAAAUAAGUGCAAUAAUACAUUGAUUAAGUUCUUUGUUACAAAAGCGUUUACGUUGCCGAAGCGUGUGUGCUCCGAAGUGCCAAGAAACAAUAUGCAUACAGUUAUCACCUAUAUAAGUGACGAUUGGGUUACAACAAUUAUACCCACAAGUUACGAUGCGGCAAUAAAUUGCGAAAACGCGGACACGAGAUCAACAAGUGCGCUUUGGCUGUGUCUGUAAAGAAAGGACAUAAAACAGGUUCCUGAGGGGAGGAGGAAUGUUGUUCCAGCAGCGACUGGCCAAGUACUUAAAACUACCACGAAAUGCUGCUGAGGUGUGUCGAGGCGUCACCAGUUGAACACUGCAGUUACGAGCCCC